This is a long non-coding RNA of Alosa sapidissima (American shad), 554 nucleotides long. RefSeq lists it as uncharacterized. The record is from RefSeq and is a predicted model, not a curated record. NCBI's taxonomy places the organism in Eukaryota, Metazoa, Chordata, Actinopteri, Clupeiformes, Clupeidae. The transcript has 2 exons.
GGUACAUGUCUGCCAGUUUGUGGGCCUGCUUAAGCUCCUCGCUCAGUGCCUGGGGAACAAAUCAUUCCACAGCUGAACACCACACACUAAGAUAUGUAUUUUGUUUCAUAAUAUACUGAGGCACACUCACCCGAAUCUCCUCCUGAUGCAUCUGUUGGGACUCUGGCGGUGCCUGGGCGAGACGCUGCGGUGCUGUGGCUCGUCCCGGUCUGUCCAGGCCACCGCGGCCACUCUGGAGCUUCUCGUGACAGGUGUCGAGCUGCCGCAGGAGCCGGUCCUUCUCCACCAUCCAGCCCUUCUCAUGGGUGCGGCUGUCGAACUUCAGCUGCAGGAAGUCCCUGGUGCUCUCGUACAGCAGGGUCUGUGUGCGCUGGAGCCUGCGAGACCAUUAUGGUAAAUCCAUAAUCCAAGAACAUUACGCAGCCACUUAUGUUAUAUUACAUUAGUGAACACAUUUGCCACAAGUUACAAACCGCGUCCCUGUCAACACCCAUAAGGGAUAUGCUCCACUAUCAGUGGCAACAGCAAAUAAAGCACAGUGAGGUGGGGUCAGA